CUAGCCAUAAACCUAGAUAGACUACACAACCACACCUAUCCGCCAGAGAAUUACAAGUGAAAAGCUUAAAACUCAAAAGACUUGACGGUGCCCCAAACCAGCCUAGAGGAGCCUGUCCUAUAAUCGAUACUCCACGAUACACCUCACCCCCCCCACCAAUUCCAGCCUAUAUACCGCCGUCGCCAGCCUACCUAAUGAUAGACCAAAAGUAGGUACAAUAGCCCCCCACUAACACGUCAGGUCAAGGUGUAGCUAAUGGGCGGGAAAGCGAUGGGCUACAUUUUCUACACACAGACCAUACCAUAAGCCCUAUGAAACAUGGGCUGAAAGGCGGAUUUAGCAGUAAGUGUGGCAAGAAUGCCUAGCUGAAACCUGCUCUGGGCCGC
Molecule: ribosomal RNA, 386 nt
Filed under: Asaccus arnoldi
Lineage: Eukaryota; Metazoa; Chordata; Lepidosauria; Squamata; Phyllodactylidae
Description: partial 12S ribosomal RNA
Rfam family: Bacterial small subunit ribosomal RNA
Source: RNAcentral